Long non-coding RNA from Cephus cinctus (wheat stem sawfly), 782 nucleotides. RefSeq lists it as uncharacterized. The transcript is spliced from 4 exons. The record is from RefSeq and is a predicted model, not a curated record. Lineage: Eukaryota; Metazoa; Arthropoda; Insecta; Hymenoptera; Cephidae.
UAUUUUUUUUAUCAAAGAAUUAUGGAAUUGCUCGUUUAUCGCCAUAAGGGACUUGUACCUCGGAUGCAAGUGUAAAGAAACAUUGACCCUCGUGGAAUUUGUAUAGAAUUCCCAUUAAAUGGUGGACAUUAGCCGAGAAUGCUUCGUUGCCCAUUCGUAGAUGGGCCGAUAAUGGAGGCAAAGACUAAAUGGGAGGUCGAAUCUUCUUGUGCACUAUACGAUCGAUCGAUACGAGAUAAGAGAUCGCGAUCUUGGUCUUCGAUAUCGACACUGCACGAAAUCGAUGUUUGAUAGCCGAUUCGCCCUAAGGGAAUCGGUAUGCUUGAUAAGAAAAAAAAAAUGAGAAAUUGCACGGGUCGAUAUACGAGUAACGAGAUAAAAAAAUAAACGACAUAAUUCGAUCCGUUCGAAAAGCACGAGUAAAAGGAACAGCAGAGAAGCGGAUGGCGGGAAUUUUUAAAUUGGAUUAAUACAAAAUUAUAUGCUGGGGAUGAUAUUUCGUAUUUGGAAUUAUGGAAAUCAUACCAACUUUAGGUACAUGUACGAGGGCUGAACCGAGUCGAAUCUGAAAUUCGAUAAUGCCUCACUCAGCAGGGACGCGCAAUUCGCCCGGAAGCUGCGAAUUAUGCCGCGAGUUCAGAUUAAAGAACUUUGGAUUACAUAUAACCGUGUAUUACGAUCAAAGACCUAUGCGCAGGUGGUGCAGUCUCUUUAGCCCGGUAUAUUUCUCUUGGAUACAAAUCGCCAAGCAUGGAGCUCUCAUUGAUUAUUAUAUGUGGAAU